UGCAGGAGAAAAGGCCCGCCCCCUAUUGGGGUGUGUAAAUUGCUUUUUUACCGGAGCAAUAAAAGUUCUAGGCGUAGGCCUGAUUGAAGGUACCGUAAGAAUAAGCAUUCGCUAACUCCCGUGCAAGCAGCCGCGGUAAUACGGGAGGAAUGCGAGGCGUUAUUCCGGGAUUUAUGGGGUUUAAAGGGGGCUAGGCGGCUUUUAAAGUCAGCGGUGAAAUUUUGGCAGGCUUAAACUAACAGUGCCCGUUGAUACUUGGGGAAGCUAGGAUUUGGUUGCUGUGGGUGGAAAUGUGUGGUGGUAGCCGGUGAAAAUGCUUUAGAGAUCACACAGAAUAUCGAUUGCGAAAGGCAGCUCACAAAGCCAAGAUUGACGCUGAGGCACGAAAGUGUGGGGAUCAAACAGGAUUAGAUACCCUGGUAGUCCACACUGUAAACGAUGAUAACUCGCUGUCGGCGAUACACAGUCGGUGGCCAAGCGAAAGCGAUAAGUUAUCCACCUGGGGAGUACGACCGCAAGGUUGAAACUCAAAGGAAUUGACGGGGGCCCGCACAAGCGGAGGAACAUGUGGUUUAAUUCGAUGAUACGCGAGGAACCUUACCCGGGCUCGAACGGUGCAUGAAUGGACAAGAGAUUGUUCAGACCUUAGGGACAUGUAUCGAGGUGCUGCAUGGUUGUCGUCAGCUCGUGCCGUGAGGUGUCGGCUUAAGUGCCAUAACGCGCAACCCUUGUCAUUAGUUACCAUCAGGUAGAGCUGGGGACUCUAAUGAGACUGCCACCGUAAGGUGAGAGGAAGGGGGGGAUGACGUCAAAUCAGCACGGCCCUUAUGUCCGGGGCGACACACGUGUUACAAUGGGGGGUACAGAGGGCAGCCAUCCGGCGACGGAGCGCCAAUCUCUAAAAGCCGCCUCAGUUCGGACUGGAGUCUGCAACUCGACUCCAUGAAGUUGGACUCGCUAGUAAUCCGCAUCAGCCAUGGCGCGGUGAAUACGUUCCCGGGCCUUGUACACACCGCCCAAGCCAUGGAAGCCGGGGGUACCUGAAGUUCGUAACCGUUAAAGGAGCGACCUAGGGUAAAACUGUUGGGCUAAGUCGUAACAAGGUAACC
This 1109-nucleotide ribosomal RNA is filed under the name uncultured bacterium. Its description in RNAcentral is "bacterial SSU rRNA". It matches the Rfam family "Bacterial small subunit ribosomal RNA", at positions 401 to 1501 of the family's 1533-position model. The record is from RNAcentral.